RNAcentral lists this ribosomal RNA (429 nucleotides) under Bacteroidota bacterium. Its description in RNAcentral is "Bacteroidetes bacterium partial 16S ribosomal RNA". It matches the Rfam family "Bacterial small subunit ribosomal RNA", at positions 355 to 776 of the family's 1533-position model. The record is from RNAcentral. Lineage: Bacteria; Pseudomonadati; Bacteroidota.
UAGGGAAUCUUCGGCAAUGGGGGGAACCCUGACCGAGCAACGCCGCGUGAGUGAAGAAGGUUUUCGGAUGGUAAAGCUCUGUUGUUAAGGAAGAACGAGUGUGAGAAUGGAAAGUUCAUGCUGUGACGGUACUUAACCAGAAAGGGACGGCUAACUACGUGCCAGCAGCCGCGGUAAUACGUAGGUCCCGAGCGUUGUCCGGAUUUAUUGGGCGUAAAGCGAGCGCAGGCGGUUAGAAAAGUCUGAAGUGAAAGGCAGUGGCUCAACCAUUGUAGUCUUUGGAAACUGUUUAACUUGAGUGCAGAAGGGGAGAGUGGAAUUCCAUGUGUAGCGGUGAAAUGCGUAGAUAUAUGGAGGAACACCGGUGGCGAAAGCGGCUCUCUGGUCUGUAACUGACGCUGAGGCUCGAAAGCGUGGGGAGCGAACAGG